RNAcentral lists this ribosomal RNA (1842 nucleotides) under Escherichia coli. RNAcentral's name for it is "partial 23S ribosomal RNA". It matches the Rfam family "Bacterial large subunit ribosomal RNA", at positions 1 to 1869 of the family's 2925-position model. Lineage: Bacteria; Pseudomonadati; Pseudomonadota; Gammaproteobacteria; Enterobacterales; Enterobacteriaceae. The record is from RNAcentral.
GUUAAGCGACUAAGCGUACACGGUGGAUGCCCUGGCAGUCAGAGGCGAUGAAGGACGUGCUAAUCUGCGAUAAGCGUCGGUAAGGUGAUAUGAACCGUUAUAACCGGCGAUUUCCGAAUGGGGAAACCCAGUGUGUUUCGACACACUAUCAUUAACUGAAUCCAUAGGUUAAUGAGGCGAACCGGGGGAACUGAAACAUCUAAGUACCCCGAGGAAAAGAAAUCAACCGAGAUUCCCCCAGUAGCGGCGAGCGAACGGGGAGCAGCCCAGAGCCUGAAUCAGUGUGUGUGUUAGUGGAAGCGUCUGGAAAGGCGCGCGAUACAGGGUGACAGCCCCGUACACAAAAAUGCACAUGCUGUGAGCUCGAUGAGUAGGGCGGGACACGUGGUAUCCUGUCUGAAUAUGGGGGGACCAUCCUCCAAGGCUAAAUACUCCUGACUGACCGAUAGUGAACCAGUACCGUGAGGGAAAGGCGAAAAGAACCCCGGCGAGGGGAGUGAAAAAGAACCUGAAACCGUGUACGUACAAGCAGUGGGAGCACGCUUAGGCGUGUGACUGCGUACCUUUUGUAUAAUGGGUCAGCGACUUAUAUUCUGUAGCAAGGUUAACCGAAUAGGGGAGCCGAAGGGAAACCGAGUCUUAACUGGGCGUUAAGUUGCAGGGUAUAGACCCGAAACCCGGUGAUCUAGCCAUGGGCAGGUUGAAGGUUGGGUAACACUAACUGGAGGACCGAACCGACUAAUGUUGAAAAAUUAGCGGAUGACUUGUGGCUGGGGGUGAAAGGCCAAUCAAACCGGGAGAUAGCUGGUUCUCCCCGAAAGCUAUUUAGGUAGCGCCUCGUGAAUUCAUCUCCGGGGGUAGAGCACUGUUUCGGCAAGGGGGUCAUCCCGACUUACCAACCCGAUGCAAACUGCGAAUACCGGAGAAUGUUAUCACGGGAGACACACGGCGGGUGCUAACGUCCGUCGUGAAGAGGGAAACAACCCAGACCGCCAGCUAAGGUCCCAAAGUCAUGGUUAAGUGGGAAACGAUGUGGGAAGGCCCAGACAGCCAGGAUGUUGGCUUAGAAGCAGCCAUCAUUUAAAGAAAGCGUAAUAGCUCACUGGUCGAGUCGGCCUGCGCGGAAGAUGUAACGGGGCUAAACCAUGCACCGAAGCUGCGGCAGCGACGCUGAUGCGUUGUUGGGUAGGGGAGCGUUCUGUAAGCCUGCGAAGGUGUGCUGUGAGGCAUGCUGGAGGUAUCAGAAGUGCGAAUGCUGACAUAAGUAACGAUAAAGCGGGUGAAAAGCCCGCUCGCCGGAAGACCAAGGGUUCCUGUCCAACGUUAAUCGGGGCAGGGUGAGUCGACCCCUAAGGCGAGGCCGAAAGGCGUAGUCGAUGGGAAACAGGUUAAUAUUCCUGUACUUGGUGUUACUGCGAAGGGGGGACGGAGAAGGCUAUGUUGGCCGGGCGACGGUUGUCCCGGUUUAAGCGUGUAGGCUGGUUUUCCAGGCAAAUCCGGAAAAUCAAGGCUGAGGCGUGAUGACGAGGCACUACGGUGCUGAAGCAACAAAUGCCCUGCUUCCAGGAAAAGCCUCUAAGCAUCAGGUAACAUCAAAUCGUACCCCAAACCGACACAGGUGGUCAGGUAGAGAAUACCAAGGCGCUUGAGAGAACUCGGGUGAAGGAACUAGGCAAAAUGGUGCCGUAACUUCGGGAGAAGGCACGCUGAUAUGUAGGUGAAGUCCCUUGCGGAUGGAGCUGAAAUCAGUCGAAGAUACCAGCUGGCUGCAACUGUUUAUUAAAAACACAGCACUGUGCAAACACGAAAGUGGACGUAUACGGUGUGACGCCUGCCCGGUGC